AUAUAUUGAUCGAUUAAAAACUCAUUAGUAUAGGCAUAGUCAAAGCUAGUUGAGUCUUUUAAUAAACCGGAUUAUUUAAUCCGUUUGAAGUUGUAAAGAACUGUAAGCGUUGCCAACGUUGAUUUUUAUUAUUCACGGAAUCGAUCUUGAAAACAAAGGUUGUAUUUACUUUCUUUUGCUCUUUAAACAGUAAUAUUAUCAUACACAUAGUAAUCUUUAA
Non-coding RNA from Schizosaccharomyces pombe (fission yeast), 220 nucleotides. The record is from the annotation of a GenBank genome assembly. NCBI's taxonomy places the organism in Eukaryota, Fungi, Ascomycota, Schizosaccharomycetes, Schizosaccharomycetales, Schizosaccharomycetaceae.